Molecule: ribosomal RNA, 443 nt
Filed under: uncultured bacterium
Lineage: Bacteria
Description: partial 16S ribosomal RNA
Rfam family: Bacterial small subunit ribosomal RNA
Source: RNAcentral
CCUACGGGUGGCAGCAGUGGGGAAUAUUGGACAAUGGGGGGAACCCUGAUCCAGCGACGCCGCGUGAGUGAAGAAGUCUUUCGGUAUGUAAAGCUCUAUCAGCAGGGAAGAAAGAAAUGACGGUUCCUGACUCAUACGCCCCGGCUACCUACGUGCCAGCAGCCGCGGUAAUACGUAGGGGGCAAGAGUUAUCCGGAUUUACUGGGUGUAAAGGGAGCGUAGACGGCGAUGCAAGUCUGAAGUGACAGGCGGGGGCUCAACCCCCGGACUGCUUUGGAAACUGUAUGGCUGGAGUGCAGGAGAGGUAAGUGGAAUUCAUGGUGUAGCGGUGAAAUGCGUAGAUAUUAGGAGGAACACCAGUGGCGAAGGCGGCUUACUGGACUGUAACUGACGUUGAGGCUCGAAAGCGUGGGGAGCAAACAGGAUUAGAUACCCUUGUAGUC